This 400-nucleotide ribosomal RNA is filed under the name uncultured bacterium. RNAcentral's name for it is "bacterial SSU rRNA". It matches the Rfam family "Bacterial small subunit ribosomal RNA", at positions 28 to 434 of the family's 1533-position model. The record is from RNAcentral.
GACGAACGCUGGCGGCGUGCUUAACACAUGCAAGUCGAGCGGUAAGGCCCUUUCGGGGGUACACGAGCGGCGAACGGGUGAGUAACACGUGGGUGACCUGCCUUUAGCUCUGGGAUAAGCCUGGGAAACUGGGUCUAAUACCGGAUAUGACUCCGCGGUGCAUGCUGUGGGGUGAAAGCCUUGUGCGGCUGGAGAUGGGCCCGCGGCCUAUCAGCUUGUUGGUGGGGUGAUGGCCUACCAAGGCGACGACGGGUAGCCGGCCUGAGAGGCGACCGGCCACACUGGGACUGAGACACGGCCCAGACUCCUACGGGAGGCAGCAGUGGGGAAUCUUGCGCAAUGGGCGAAAGCCUGACGCAGCGACGCCGCGUGAGGGAUGACGGCCUCGGUUGUAACCGUA